ACGGGAGGCAGCAGUGGGGAAUAUUGGGCAAUGGGCGGAAGCCUGACCCAGCAACGCCGCGUGAGGGAAGAAGGUUUUCGGAUUGUAAACCUCUGUCCUUGGUGACGAAGGAAGUGACGGUAGCCAAGGAGGAAGCCCCGGCUAACUACGUGCCAGCAGCCGCGGUAAUACGUAGGGGGCGAGCGUUGUUCGGAAUCACUGGGCGUAAAGGGAGCGUAGGCGGAGAUGCAAGCAGUCUGUACAAUCCCGGGGCCUAACCCCGGAUCUGCAGACUGGACUGUGUCUCUUGGAUAGUUCAGGGGCAGGCGGAAUUCCUGGUGUAGCGGUGGAAUGCGUAGAGAUCAGGAAGAACACCGAUGGCGAAGGCAGCCUGCUGGGGACUCAUCGACGCUGAGGCUCGAAAGUGCGGGUAGCAAACAGGAUUAGAUACCCUGGUA
This 437-nucleotide ribosomal RNA is filed under the name uncultured Fibrobacter sp. RNAcentral's name for it is "partial 16S ribosomal RNA". It matches the Rfam family "Bacterial small subunit ribosomal RNA", at positions 341 to 792 of the family's 1533-position model. Lineage: Bacteria; Pseudomonadati; Fibrobacterota; Fibrobacteria; Fibrobacterales; Fibrobacteraceae. The record is from RNAcentral.